AGAUGGAAACUGGUGGAAUUGUCAGCUUGAGUUGCUGGGCAGAAGCUGCUGGUAUUGAUGAAAAAAUGCUUAAGCAGCAACUUUUCGGUUGGCAUCGUCAGAACGAGGUUGUAAGGAGUACUAAGUCCUUAGUUCUAUACCUUGCAAGAAAGUAUAGGGGUUUAGCAAUAACCUUGGAUGAUUUACUUCAGGUUAUGAAUAUCAAGUCUUACAACCACAUGAUAUCACAGAAAAUACUCACAAAAUUAUAGAACUUCUUAGAUAUUCUGAUGAAGGGGUUGUAGUUGUAGAUACUCUAUCGUUCAUCGCCAAGUUCAAGUCAGACGCUCCAUAUAGUAACGAGGAGAUCAAUGCAGUACGGGAUGAGUGGACUGAAUUUAUGGAGCCUUUGAUUAUCAAUUAAGUACAAGGUUACUACUUUUGUUAUAAUACACGAG
Molecule: long non-coding RNA, 437 nt
Organism: Cannabis sativa
Lineage: Eukaryota; Viridiplantae; Streptophyta; Magnoliopsida; Rosales; Cannabaceae
Exons: 3
Source: RefSeq, a predicted model, not a curated record